CCCUACGGGGUGCAGCAGGCGCGAAACCUCCUCAAUGCACUUACGUGCGAAGGGGCUACCUCGAGUGCCAUCUGAUGAAGGUGGCUUUUCCUAGGUCUAAAAAGCCUUGGGAAUAAGAGGGGGGCAAGACUGGUGUCAGCCGCCGCGGUAACGCCAGCCCCUCGAGUGGUGGGGAUGAUUAUUGGGCCUAAAGCGUCCGUAGCCUGCCGUAUAAGUUUCCCGUUAAAUCCAGCGUCUUAAGCGUUGGACUGCGGGAAAUACUGUACGGCUAGAGAGUGGGAGAGGUCAGCGGUAUUCUGGGGGUAGGGGCGAAAUCCUUUGAUCCCCGGAGGACCACCAGUGGCGAAGGCUGCUGACUAGAACACGUCUGACGGUCAGGGACGAAAGCUGGGGUAGCGAACCGGAUUAGAUACCCGGGUAGUCCCAGCCGUAAACGAUGCAUGCUAGGUGUUGGGUUGGCCACGAGCCACCUCAGUGCCGCAGGGAAGCCGUUAAGCAUGCCGCCUGGGAAGUACGAUCGCAAGGUUGAAACUUAAAGGAAUUGGCGGGGGAGCAC
This 556-nucleotide ribosomal RNA is filed under the name uncultured archaeon. Its description in RNAcentral is "bacterial SSU rRNA". It matches the Rfam family "Archaeal small subunit ribosomal RNA", at positions 321 to 879 of the family's 1478-position model. The record is from RNAcentral.